ACGUGUGCCUCUAGCCCUUAUGUUUGCAUUUUUGAGCACUUCCAACUUCAAUUGAUAUUUCUCCAUGGGUGGCUGCAAUUUGGCAUUAAGUUUAGGAAAAACAAAUUCUACCUUAUCUGGAGGUUUGGGCAAGCAUUGAUCUGCAUGCUCCUUUGGUUUGGGCCAUUGGACUACCAUUUGUUCCUUCUGGGCAUGGACUGUUUGCAUUGGAAGGAUGAAAGGAGUUUCAGUUUCCUCCUUCUGCAUAGGACCUAACUGAGGUGGAAGACUGAUUUGUGUUGGAAGCUGAAAGGACGCGCCUGAGAGGAUUUCAGGUACUCCUUCUUGCGCAAGAUUGAUCUGCAAUGGAGGAAUGAAAGGAGUUUCAUUCGAUGGAAGCUGAAGAGGUGCAACUAGAAGAGUUGCAGGACUGUCCUGCGGUCCAAGCUGAGGUGGUUCAGUUGGAGUUCCUUCUGACUGCGCAAGAUUGAUAUGAAGAGGUGUGAUUGGCUCUCCUUUGAUCUGUGCGUGUUCGCAGUCCACCUGUUGGAUGUAACAAUUAGUUUCUUUCAGUUCUGGCUCUUUUUGGCUCUCUU
Molecule: long non-coding RNA, 575 nt
Filed under: Manihot esculenta (cassava)
Lineage: Eukaryota; Viridiplantae; Streptophyta; Magnoliopsida; Malpighiales; Euphorbiaceae
Description: long non-coding RNA (MESC_LNC011479)
Source: RNAcentral